RNAcentral lists this small RNA (68 nucleotides) under Mycobacterium fragae. RNAcentral describes it as "ASdes TB sRNA". It matches the Rfam family "ASdes TB sRNA". Lineage: Bacteria; Bacillati; Actinomycetota; Actinomycetes; Mycobacteriales; Mycobacteriaceae. The record is from Rfam by way of RNAcentral.
UUCGCGGUCGGAUCCACCUCCCGGGUCACCACGAGGUACUCCCGCAGCGCGAUGGCGUGCAGGUGCUC